Bufo bufo (common toad) is the source of this 372-nucleotide long non-coding RNA. RefSeq lists it as uncharacterized. The record is from RefSeq and is a predicted model, not a curated record. NCBI's taxonomy places the organism in Eukaryota, Metazoa, Chordata, Amphibia, Anura, Bufonidae. The transcript has 3 exons.
GUUGAUUAGUUAGGAUCUCAACUGCAGAGUCAAUGGACAUCAACUAUUUACCACACUGCCUAAGUGCUGGCUGUGUGUUUUGCGGCUGCUCAAUUUGAACCCCAGGCGGCACUCUCAGUCUUAGGCGGAGAGGUUGGGGUUACCAAAAUCAUGUACCGCAAUAAACAGAUUAAUUAAUGGGGAGGAAGGUCUCCUCUUAGUUGCGAAGGCCAGGAGGUAUUUAUAGCAAUUCCUCAGGAAUGUAUAUAACUGCAAUGUCAACUCUUACCACCGUGUGGCAGCAAUUCUACAGGUUAGUACGUAACUGCAAUAUCAACUCUCACCACCGGGUGGCAACAAUUCUUCAGGUUAGUCUGUAACUGCAAUAUCAAC